CAGGCACUAUCGCCUGCCUGACACUGUGCUGUGCAGCCCAGUGGGGAGACCAGCAAGGAGAUGGAUUGAGGGAGUUAGCAGGCACAGUAGUGCUGUGCAUUUGUUAAAGAAUGUGGGCGUGGUUGGCUAGGUCUUGGGGCCUGGCCAGCUAGGACCCAUGGGCGUGGUCAACUAGGAUGGGGGUGUGGUCAGUUAGGUGUGUGAUCCUGGUCAGCCAGGCUCUAAGGAAUAGUCCUUUAGAUCUGCUAAGUCCAUUGACUCUGGAGUCCCCUGGAAGAGUGGCUAACCCAGCUGUGACUCCCCAGCCAGGGGAGAACUGCCUAGAACCAGGACCAGAUGUCAGAGUUCAAGUGCUGGCCACAGACAAGCCUGCAGGAGAUGAGAUGGAGCAGCCUCUAUGGGGUCACACUCACCACGCAGUGAUGACGAAGCUUCCUGAGGAUGGUGCAAGGAGCUCAUAUUCUGGAAAAUUCAUCUGGGGCAGCACUGGGGACAUGAGAGACACUGUGGGCCACUAGAGCUGGCUUGGCCUUAAUUUGGUCCCCUACCGACAGAGAGAGGCCCAGGUGAUUGAGCUGUGACAAGUGGCAGAGACAGGAGAGGCCCAGCUGUCUGGACAGUUGCCCACAUUCCAAUCUCAGGAUGCUUUGACUGCAAAGCUAGGAACCAGUAAAUCCAACAGCACCUGGCCUGGUGGCCAUGCUGGUGCUGUUCCUGCACUUGGCCCUGCAAUGGCUCAAAGGAACGGGACCCAAAAGAGACACGGCUUGCUUAACACCCCAUCUUAGCAACAUCAUGCAGCUCUUUCUGCAGUCACUGGCCUUUCCUCCUUAGCUGCCAGAACCCCACAUUGCAGAGGAAGCCUGUGCACAGUGAAGGGGAUGUGGAACCUGGGAGCCAGUCCCCAGCACUGUCACUGGGCCAUAGCUGCUGAGAGGAAAGGGCAGCCUGGCCAGAGUAAGCACAGUGGCCAUUGGGAGCCAUGGGCCUGGCCUGCGGCUCUGCAACUCUUCAAAUUAAGGAACCAACAAAGCAUCAGGUGAGAAAGCAGAUGCCAUGCCUGUGCAGAGCUCUACAAGGCAAGCGGUUGUUGUCAUUCUCAUGCCAUGGUGCCGUGCAGAUGUUGCAUGUGCAUGGUACAUGCAUGGAAGCCGUGAUUGGCAGGGGCCCAGAAAACCUGCAUCAUCUAUUCUUGUCCUUGGUCUGAGGCGCCUCUCACCUGUCUUACCAAUCUCACAUUUCUGGGGCUUCACUAUGGAAGCCUCUUCUGCUAUGCAGAAAUCCGGGUGUCUGUGGGGGCUGGUUCUCCUCAGAUGGGUGCCCUCCUUGUGCGUGACAACAGAUGAGCUAUAUUUCAAAACAAAGUGCUGUGUUAUAAUCAUCUGCCUGAAUUCCCAGGGUAUCUUUUACCUGACUUGAUAACAAUGUUCUUCAUUAGCAGCGUUUGUUAACUGAUAACCUGAAGCAGUAACUUGGUAUUCAUAAGCAAUUUUCUGUAUGUAAGAUAGAAUAAACCAUCUUGUAAGGGAUCUGUUAAUUGAUUUGCUUCUUUUAGCAGCAUUUUAAUUAAGGCAUCUGGUUUUGGAGGGCAGAAAUAGUUGUGAGCAGAAGGGAAAGGCUCUGGAUUCUCAGUCCAUGAAAAUGUCCUGUGCACUGAGCAGAGAAACACAGUCAUGUGUCACUCGGUGACAAGGACAUGUCCAGGAAGUGUGCAUUUGGGGUUCAUCACUAUGUGGAUGCGGCAGAUGCCCGCACAGGGACUGCGAUGGUUGUGGCAUUACUAUGAUACCAUGCAUAUGGUCCAUCACUGAUGGAAAUAGCGCUAUUCUGGGCAUGUCUGCAGGCUGAAGACCAGUGACCUCCCUCAGAUGGUAGGGACUAACGUCAUUUAGGAGGCAGUGUGGG
This 1905-nucleotide long non-coding RNA is filed under the name Heterocephalus glaber (naked mole-rat). Its description in RNAcentral is "lncRNA (ENSHGLG00000048209.1)". Lineage: Eukaryota; Metazoa; Chordata; Mammalia; Rodentia; Bathyergidae. The record is from RNAcentral.